This 2896-nucleotide long non-coding RNA is filed under the name Homo sapiens (human). RNAcentral's name for it is "HSALNT0286248". The record is from RNAcentral. Lineage: Eukaryota; Metazoa; Chordata; Mammalia; Primates; Hominidae.
CUCCCACCCUCAUGGAAGCUUUGCUUCUUUUCAUCUUAUAGUCAAAUAUUGAUCCACUCGACCUGUCCUCGAGGUUUUGAUUAACACAGAAGAUUGCCACGCCGAAGGUGCAGCUCUUCUUAUGGAGAUAGCAGAGACACAAGAGACCAAGCUCAACUACACAAGCAUAUUUCAUGUCUCUGCUUACGUCACAUCUGUCAUUAUCCCAUUGGCCAAGGUAAGUCACAUGGUUGAGUUCAAAGUCAAGGGACUGGAACAUCUUAUCCUCUGGGGUUGAGAGAAGGAAGAGGAUGUUUUUGAAUAAUAACCAAAUCUACCAUAUCAAUCAAAGUAUCUCUUAAUUCUGUGCUGGAGGUCUUUUGUCUGUUACCUUUGUGGCAAAUAUUUCCACUAAAUCUCCCCAAUAAACUUCUGGAAAUCCUAAAAGGCUCUCUUUGGGGAUAUUGUAUCAUAUCCUUCAUUUAAUGGAGGAGAUAAAUGGUAUUAUUUGACUUGCAGAGAAAUGGGUCCAGGGAUAGAAUAUGCAGGCAAUUUUUGUCACAUUGAUGGAUCAGGAAUCCCACAAAUUACCCAGUGGAUCCUCCAACCAACCAAAAGUUAUAAAGAAUUCAGGGGUUCUAGGAAGGUAAGGGGAGGCAUUUUUAUCUAUUGGAAACUGUCAACAGGGAGUUUUGUUUCCUUGUUUUAUGCAUUCAUUCAUUCACUAAAUAUUUUUAUUGAGCAUCAACUGUGGGUCAGGCAUUGUGCUGAGGGCACAUGGUGAAUAAAACAGCUGAGAUACAACUGUGCAGUGCCAUAAAAGAGAGGAACAUAGUGCUGCAAUUGAGAGCACUGGUAUGGGAGGGGAGAGGAUAACUUAUAGUGAUUAGAGGAGGUCUCACUGAAGAGGUAGCAUUUAGGCUGAGAUCUGAAGGGUGAGAAGGAUCUAGCCACAUGAAGAAUUAGAGAAAUUACAUAACCAUGAGGCAUAUCAGAGUUUAUUACCUAUAACAUUGAUGAGAAAUGUUAAAGAACCAAAAGGCAUUAUAUGAUGGAUUUCAUUGUAACUGCUUUAGAGAAAAAUGUCAUGAGAAAGAAAUCUGUGGCAAAUAAAAAGGGAAGUAAAGGGGAUAGAAUAGAAAUGCACUAACACUUUGUCCUGUUGUUACCCUCAAUAUCAUACACUUCACUGAUUAUACCCUCCAAAGUGUAUUGCACCCAGCAACAAAAAUUGACAUACAAUCGAAGCUCUGCUACAAAGGAGCUAGCAACUUUGGAAUCCUGUUUGCAUCUGAUCUGCUCACUGCAAUAUAACACGUGCAUAAAACAGUGCAACCGUAUUUGUUUUAAUAAGGCCAUUCUGAGCAGCUGUUUAAUGAUCCAUGAUGUUAAAUGAAAACUACAGGUGUUCCAAAUGCAAACCUUAUGGCCCAGGGCCCCCCUUAUUACCGUUCUACAAUUAGCAGCCAACUGCUCUUAGGCUGUGCAAAGAAUUACCACCAUCAUCAUUACAUUAUUUCUUAAUUUCAUUCUCUGCCUAAGUGUCUUCCCCCAAAGGAAAAACCUGCUUGGCAUGGGAAAGCAUAAGAGUGAAAAAAUGAAAAGGGAAGGAGAACACAAAACACUCCCUGUCCAACCACAAGGAGGCCUCAGUGAAGGGGGAAAGAGCCAGCCAAAAGGCUCAGCCCCCUAAGGAAUCUUCCAGAGUGACUUUCUGGCCAAACUUAACAAAGUCUUGCUGAAACUAUUGGUGUUCAUAAGGAUUGCAUUAACCCUUUCUUCUUCAUGAUUCCCUAAGCUUAAUACUGUGCUAAGCCAAAUUGCCAGAAAGCUGCAUAGCUGGAUUCCAUCGCUCUGUCUUGUAGAGGGCUAAUUUUAUGCAAGUAUAAUUUUAACAUCACAACAGUUUUCACUUAAGGUACAUAUAAUAAACUGCAAAGAAGGAAGUCUUCUGUAUCACUUGUGAAAUUGCUGUCUGUAUCAUUAUCCAUUACAUACCUCAAUACCUCUUACAUAAAAAUGCCAGAGACAAAUUUAAUUAGAGCUCGGGAACAAGUUUAUCUUUCCAUGUCAAUGGGUACACUUUUUUCUGCAAAACUAGUAAUUCUCAAUUCUGGCUGCAUAUUAGAAUCACCUAAUAGUAAACACAUUUAUUUGCAUCCCAGCUCCUUCCCAGACCAUUUAAAUUCAAAUUUCUAGGAGUGGGCACUGGGCAGGACCAUCGAGUUGCAGUUCCAGGGGUCACCAUUCACAAUGUGCUUGGCCAAAUUACAGUAUUAUACUCUGCUGCCAAAAUUGAGAACCACUGCCCCAGAAAAUGAGAGUUUUAUAACUCACUGAUUUUGCUUCUUCAUUUUGGUUACUAAGAAGCUCAAAACUAAUUAUACUGAAUUGCAGUUUUCCUCUGCCAAAAUUUCUCAAUACAAUUUUCCCUCUGCAUCCCCUCAUAUUAAUGCUUUUACCAGUACUUUCAGUGUAAGCUACCAAAUAUUCUUUUUGUAGGUAAAGUAAAAUAAAACAAUAAAUAAAAUAAAGAUCUAUUGGGAGGCACAAGUAGAUCUAUAUACAAAUUUAUAUACAAAUCUCCCAUAAUCACCCCAAACGUAAGAUGGCCAAAGAUGGGCCGGGCGCAGUGGCUCAUGCCUGUAAUCCCCAGCACUUUGGAAUGCCAAGAUGGGCAGAUCAUGAGGUCAGGAGUUCGAGACCAGCCUGGUCAACAUGGUGAAACCCCUGUCUCUACUAAAAAUACCAAAAAAAAAAAAAUUACCCGGGUGUGGUGGCACAUGCCUGUAAUCUCAGAUACUUGGGAGGUUGAGGCAGGAGAAUCGCUUGAAACCAGAAGGCGGAGGUUGCAGUGAGCUGAGAUCGCACCACUGCACUCCAGCCUGGGCAAUAAGAAUGAAACUCCAUCUCCAAA